RNAcentral lists this ribosomal RNA (371 nucleotides) under Babesia microti. Its description in RNAcentral is "SSU rRNA". It matches the Rfam family "Eukaryotic small subunit ribosomal RNA", at positions 483 to 880 of the family's 1831-position model. Lineage: Eukaryota; Apicomplexa; Aconoidasida; Piroplasmida; Babesiidae. The record is from RNAcentral.
AUACAGGGCUUAAAGUCUUGUAAUUGGAAUGAUGGGAAUCUAAACCCUUCCCAGAGUAUCAAUUGGAGGGCAAGUCUGGUGCCAGCAGCCGCGGUAAUUCCAGCUCCAAUAGCGUAUAUUAAAGUUGUUGCAGUUAAGAAGCUCGUAGUUGAAUUUCUGCCUUGUCAUUAAUCUCGCUUCCGAGCGUUUUUUUAUUGACUUGGCAUCUUCUGGAUUUGGUGCCUUCGGGUACUAUUUUCCAGGAUUUACUUUGAGAAAACUAGAGUGUUUCAAACAGGCAUUCGCCUUGAAUACUACAGCAUGGAAUAAUGAAGUAGGACUUUGGUUCUAUUUUGUUGGUUAUUGAGCCAGAGUAAUGGUGAAUAGGAGCA